This 419-nucleotide ribosomal RNA is filed under the name uncultured ammonia-oxidizing beta proteobacterium. RNAcentral's name for it is "bacterial SSU rRNA". It matches the Rfam family "Bacterial small subunit ribosomal RNA", at positions 197 to 597 of the family's 1533-position model. The record is from RNAcentral. Lineage: Bacteria; Pseudomonadati; Pseudomonadota; Betaproteobacteria.
UGGAGGAAAGCAGGGGAUCGCAAGACCUUGCGCUUUUGGAGCGGCCGAUGUCUGAUUAGCUAGUUGGUGGGGUAAAGGCUUACCAAGGCAACGAUCAGUAGUUGGUCUGAGAGGACGACCAGCCACACUGGGACUGAGACACGGCCCAGACUCCUACGGGAGGCAGCAGUGGGGAAUUUUGGACAAUGGGCGAAAGCCUGAUCCAGCCAUGCCGCGUGAGUGAAGAAGGCCUUCGAGUUGUAAAGCUCUUUCAGUCGAGAAGAAAAAAUUGCGACUAAUAAUCGCAAUUCAUGACGGUAUCGACAGAAGAAGCACCGGCUAACUACGUGCCAGCAGCCGCGGUAAUACGUAGGGUGCAAGCGUUAAUCGGAAUUACUGGGCGUAAAGGGUGCGCAGGCGGCUUUGUAAGUCAGAUGUGA